RNAcentral lists this long non-coding RNA (2426 nucleotides) under Salmo salar (Atlantic salmon). RNAcentral describes it as "lncRNA (ENSSSAG00000100522.1)". The record is from RNAcentral. Lineage: Eukaryota; Metazoa; Chordata; Actinopteri; Salmoniformes; Salmonidae.
GUGCAAAUGUGCUUGCAGGCGAUCCAACACGUGCUAAAUAAACGGCUGCAAGCGGUCCUGCACACUUUAAAUUAACACCUACAGCUGCUAACUAUACACGCUAACUUUUGUCUUUGAAAAUUGUUGUUACUGAAUCAUAAAGCUUAUCAGCUAGUUUACAGUGGAAGGAUCUGUUUCUCAUCACUGGCUAUAAAAUUCAGAUAACAAUCUAGCACCAGGAUCAGCAGUGCUUAGCAUAAACUAAGUCAGAUACAGGCUAGCUAAUUUAGCUAACGUCGGUAGCCUCGAACCCCAGCCAUUAUUAGUUUGCCUCAAACUCUGACCGGCCAUACUGCUAGCCGCAGUGAACAACGCAGUCUUGUGUUUUAUUAAGAAAAAACAUGCUGAAAAAACAUGUCAACCAUAACAGCCACGGAAACACAUUAGACUAUGUUAAUACUAUCGAGAAGGGAACCAUAAAGAGGAGCUUGGAGUGGGCAAGGGGUGGCUGAUAAAGCAGCAGAGAAGACCUGAUUCAACAAGUAUCACGCUUAACUCUGGUGAUUCUCAUCUGGUUGGCAUGCACAACACUGCAAGGCAAAACGUCUUUACCUACCGUAGGAUGGAGAGCCGCUGGUUGGCAGUUUUGACUGCAGUGUCUGUGUGGGUGUACCAGGAAAGAACGUUAGAAGUAAGGUCCCCAUGAUACCGAAGCUUCUUACCAUCUCCACUGCAGCCCAGUCGAUAUCGAUUUUAAAAACUGGAACAAUAGAUAUCGUGUAGCACAUGGUAGCAAAAAUUCACUGAACCAACUUCAGUUUGCCUGUUGUCCGAACCCAUUUGUCAAUUAUGCAUUUUACAUAUGUCAGAGUGCGUUUCCUUUUAUAGCUCUGCUUUCAACACCAUCCUGACCCACAAACUGGUUAGCAGACUCAGGCCUCUGGGUGUAAACCCAGUAAUAACAAAUGAGAUUUUUUACAUUAUCAUAAGAAUGUGUAUCCCCAGAAUGUACCCGACCCAACCAUGGUACACAUGAGUACAUGAAGGAGCUGUGGGACCUGACAUAAGGGUGAUAGGACAACAGUCUCAGCGUAAGCAAAACGGUGAGACUUAAUGACCAUUCUCCCAUCUACUGUACAUUACCAUGGAGAUGAUCAGCAGCUUUAAGUUCCUGGGCACCCUGAUAUCCUUUUCUGCCCCCAGUCACUUCACUCAUAAAGUCCCACCAGUGCUUCUCCACUACCCUCAUCAACUUGCUGCACCACGACCAAUGUACCAACUACAGUGUCUGUUUCUAUGGCCAUAACACAUUUAAAUGAAAUGUCCAUAUUUACUGUAAGAUUUAUUUAUGGUAACAUUGCACAUAUUGUAACAUUAUAGUCCCUUGACAUACACUAGGGGUGACAGGUAGCCUAGUGGUUAGAGCAUUGGACUAGUGACCAGAAGGUUGUAAGAUCGAAUCCCCGAGCUGACAAGGUAAAAAUCUGUCGUUCUGCCCCUGAACAAGGCAGUUAACCCACUGUUCCUAGGCCAUCAUUGAAAAUAAGAAUUUGUUCUUAACUGACUUGCCUAGUUAACUAAAGGUAAUAAAAAUACACUACUUUGCAUAAUGCUCAGUUUACCCACUAAGAAAUCAUACAUUUAUUAAAGCUGCAUUUUGUAUUACUGUGUCCAACUUUUUUUGCUGAUGGCCGAUCCUGUUGGAAACUUUCAUAAUAUCAACCGUUUUGGGACACAUCACCAAUUAACAUUGGCUGCAGUAUUCUGAACUUUACUACGUAGUCAUGCAAUAAACAUUUUGGAUAAUUCCCUUAAAUGAAUUCCCUUUAAAUCAAAUACAAUUUUAUUUGUCAUAUGCUCCGAAUACAACCGGUGUAGACAUUACGGUGAAAUGCUUACUUCCAAGCCCUUAACCAACAAUGCACUUAAGAAAAAUACAUACAAAAAAAUAAAUGUUGGUGAUUGUAAAAUUCACUCUCCAUUUUCUCCCUGAAGGCUGCGUAGGGUUGGAUGUGUUGGCAGCCUUAAAACAAUGCUGCAUGUAUUUGCUUCCGGAACAUCCUGGCAGCCUCAUUCUCUUGUUUGUGUAAGAAUUGUAGCUGUGGCUCCACUGGGAAUCCCAGCCUAGGAAUGGCCGAAGCCCCGGAAGUGAAAAUGAGAAUCUUCUCCAGGGUUAAAGGGUGGGGAGAGCAUUGCUGUGAAGAGAGAAGAUUUGUCUUUGGCCAAAAGAGGUUUCUCAGCGUAGAUGAAAACCUCUGAAGAGGCUUGAGUGUCUAUUCAUGGAUGACUUACUCAUUGUCAUUACCAACAUCAACAGACGAGAGUGGACUCCAUGGAGGGGAGGCCACAUAUUGUGGUGAAGGUGGACGAUAAGCCUCAGGGAAUGGUGGAGGGAAGGCCGCAGGAAGUGGUAUAGGUGGAGGGAAGGCCACAGGAAGUUGCACUGG